This 262-nucleotide ribosomal RNA is filed under the name uncultured bacterium. Its description in RNAcentral is "partial 16S ribosomal RNA". It matches the Rfam family "Bacterial small subunit ribosomal RNA", at positions 524 to 783 of the family's 1533-position model. The record is from RNAcentral.
UACAGAGGUCUCAAGCGUUGUUCGGAUUCAUUGGGCGUAAAGGGUGUGUAGGUGGCGCGCUAAGUCGGGUGUGAAAUUUCGGAGCUUAACUCCGAAACUGCAUUCGAUACUGGCGUGCUUGAGGACUGGAGAGGAGACUGGAAUUCAUGGUGUAGCAGUGAAAUGCGCAGAUAUCAGGAGGAACACCGGUGGCGAAGGCGGGUCUCUGGGCCGUAACUGGACGCCUGGAGGAGCGAAAGCAUGGGGAGCGAACAGGAUAGAU